GUUCUUCGACCGAGACGACAUAUAAGGAGACCUGGUUGUGGCACAUGACUUAUUUUUAUACUUGUCUUAUUUAAUAUAUUAAAUAUGUUGCUACUUUUAUUUUUGUUUUAUUAUAUUAUAUCUUUUAAACGUUCUGCUACUUUAUAUACUUCUCUUAAUUCAUAUCUUCAAUUUUUCUUUUAUAUCUACAACAUUUGCUUCUU
Molecule: unclassified non-coding RNA, 203 nt
Filed under: Hevea brasiliensis (rubber tree)
Lineage: Eukaryota; Viridiplantae; Streptophyta; Magnoliopsida; Malpighiales; Euphorbiaceae
Source: RNAcentral